This 73-nucleotide transfer RNA is filed under the name Cladosporium sphaerospermum UM 843. RNAcentral's name for it is "tRNA-Val (CAC) (tRNA-Val-CAC-1 1 to 3)". The record is from RNAcentral. Lineage: Eukaryota; Fungi; Ascomycota; Dothideomycetes; Cladosporiales; Cladosporiaceae.
GCUCGACUGGUGUAGUGGCUAUCACGUACCCUUCACACGGGUAAGGUCCUCAGUUCGAUCCUGGGGUCGAGCU